This 1563-nucleotide ribosomal RNA is filed under the name human gut metagenome. RNAcentral describes it as "bacterial LSU rRNA". It matches the Rfam family "Bacterial large subunit ribosomal RNA", at positions 414 to 1983 of the family's 2925-position model. The record is from RNAcentral.
AGCGCGGAGCACGAGGAAUUCUGCGUGAAUCUGCCGGGACCAUCCGGUAAGGCUAAAUACUCCCGAGAGACCGAUAGUGAACCAGUACUGUGAAGGAAAGGUGAAAAGCACUUCGAACAGAAGAGUGAAAUAGUUCCUGAAACCAUGUGCCUACAAGCGGUCGGAGCACCUUCUGGUGUGACGGCGUGCCUUUUGCAUAAUGAACCUACGAGUUACUUUUUCCGGCGAGGUUAAGGAUUUCAGAUCUGCAGCCGAAGCGAAAGCGAGUCUGAACAGGGCGUAUAGUCGGAAGGAGUAGACGCGAAACCAAGUGAUCUACCCUUGGGCAGGUUGAAGGAUGGGUAACACCAUCUGGAGGACCGAACCAAUAAGCGUUGAAAAGCUUCUGGAUGACCUGAGGGUGGGGGUGAAAGGCUAAUCAAACUUGGAGAUAGCUCGUACUCCCCGAAAUGCAUUUAGGUGCAGCCUUGACUUAUACUGGCAUGAGGUAGAGCGACUGAUAAGAUGCGAGGGCUUCACCGCCUAUCAAGUCUUGACAAACUCCGAAUGCGUGUCAGUUCUAUGUCAGGAGUGAGGGCAUGGGUGCUAAGGUCCAUGUCCUAAAGGAGAACAAUCCGGACCAACAGCUAAGGUCCCGAAAUGAAUACUAAGUUGAACUAACGAAGUCAGAUUGCUAAGACAGCUAGGAUGUUGGCUUGGAAGCAGCCAUUCAUUUAAAGAGUGCGUAACAGCUCACUAGUCGAGGAGUUUGGCGUGGAUAAUAAUCGGGCAUAAGUAUUCUACCGAAGCUUUGGGAUGAGAAAUCAUCGGUAGGGGAGCAUUCCACUCGGCGUCGAAGGUGAAGCGCGAGCUUUGCUGGAGCGUGUGGAAAAGCAAAUGUAGGUAUAAGUAACGAUAAAGGGGGUGGGAAACCCCCUCGCCGAAAGACUAAGGUUUCCUGAUCAACGCUAAUCGGAUCAGGGUAAGUCGGGUCCUAAGGCUCAGCCGAACGGCGAGGCCGAUGGCAGAACCGGUUAAUAUUCCGGUACUACCUGUGGGAGUGACGUGGAGACGGAGUCGUGACAGCGCCGCGGACUGACGGAAUAGUCCGUUGAAGGGUGUAGAUGCUGAUUGUUCCAGGCAAAUCCGGAGCAAGAGUCGAACCUGACAGUAUGGAGCGUUCUUAGAACAAUCCAAUAGUGCGUGUAAUCAUACUUCCAAGAAAAUCCGCUAAACUUAAUCCUGCAGGUACCCGUACCGCAAACGGACACACGUAGUCGGGUUGAAUAUACUAAGGCGCUUGAGUGAUUCACGGUUAAGGAACUAGGCAAACUGACCCUGUAACUUCGGGAUAAAGGGUCCUCGCUUAACGGCGAGGCGCAGAGAAUAGGUCCAGGCAACUGUUUAACAAAAACACAGGGCUGUGCAAAAUUGAAAGAUGAAGUAUACAGCCUGACACCUGCCCGGUGCUGGAAGGUUAAGAGGAGAUGUCAUCGCAAGAGAAGCAUUGAAUUGAAGCCCCAGUAAACGGCGGCCGUAACUAUAACGGUCCUAAGGUAGCGAAAUUCCUUGUCGGGUAAGUUC